This is a long non-coding RNA of Nymphaea colorata (pocket water lily), 698 nucleotides long. RefSeq lists it as uncharacterized. The transcript is spliced from 3 exons. The record is from RefSeq and is a predicted model, not a curated record. NCBI's taxonomy places the organism in Eukaryota, Viridiplantae, Streptophyta, Magnoliopsida, Nymphaeales, Nymphaeaceae.
CAGAUAGUAGAUCCAGCAAAAAUUGAAGUGAUGGUGGAUAAAGUGUUAGCAGCAAACCCUAAGCAGCUUGAACAAUAUCGUGGAGGCAAGUCAAAAUUGCAAGGUUUUUUUGCUGGUCAGGUGAUGAAGGAGUCAAAGGGGAAAGCCAACCCUGCUCUCUUAAACCAGAUUCUUUUGGGGAAACUAAAUGCCAAAAAUUGAUGCCUUUCGAUGUCCUUCUCAUUCGGCUACAAGUUUGCAGCUGGAUAUACUGACGGGCAGGGUGAUUGGCAGUGGCCGUGAACAGGGAGAUCUCUACAGGCUAGUGCAUUCCUUUCCCUUUGCUGGAUCUACCUCGUCGGGGUCGUCCUCAUCCUCGGCUUAUACUUGGCAUUUACGUUUUGGACAUCUCCCGUUUCAGAAACUGUUGCAUGUUCUCCCUCAGCUGUCUCAUAAGUCGUCUUUUCAAUGUGAGUCUUGUCAGUUAGGCAAACACCAUCGGUCAUCCUUUCCUCCGCGGUCUAGUAGAACUAGCCACUCUGUGUUUGAGUUACUUCAUUUUGAUGUUUGGGGCCCGAGUCGUACUCCUGACCUUCAGGGUCAUCGGUAUUAUCUUGUUGCUGUUGAUGAUUACAGUCGUGUUAGUUGGGUUUUUCUUAUGAAACACAAAUCUGAAGCGGGUCAUGUAAUCAAAAAUUUUAUCAAUGAAAUUCUGACUC